UUAGAGUAGUGGAAAUUGAACAAUAUGUGUUAGUGAUUGAUUAUAUGUGUAAUAUUAAGCUUCCUGAAUGUUAUUAAGCGUGACUAAUGGUUUUUCCUUAUUUGAUACGUAGUAUUUUUUUUUUCCUUUAGGAGAAAAGAAGGGCUGUCUUUUUCGAUUGAGAACUUAUGAAAUCUGGUGUAGACAAAUAGUGCUUCCUAUCCUAAGUUAUUUUUUGAUAUUCCUUUGCUACUUCUUUCCUUGGCUAAUGGGAAAAAAAUCCUUCUUUUUACUCUGCCUCGCGCCAUCCAUAAAUGCGUUGUUUAGCUCAGAUGUCCGCUCAUCUGGCAAGUUGGCAGCAACCACUUCCUCCCUCUUUGUGUAGAAAAGCUUCUGAAAUCCUAUUAGU
This 388-nucleotide long non-coding RNA is filed under the name Nicotiana benthamiana. Its description in RNAcentral is "long non-coding RNA (NBEN_LNC019037)". Lineage: Eukaryota; Viridiplantae; Streptophyta; Magnoliopsida; Solanales; Solanaceae. The record is from RNAcentral.